CUUGGACUUCAGGACUGGAAGCAGAGGAGCUACUUUCGAUCUUCUCCAGACCCGCUCCAACGGCACCGAGGAUGGGUGGAGGUGAGAACAUGGGACAGCUGGCUCAACCUUGUCGCAGGCAGAAGAUGCAGCAGGACCCUCUGGAUGUGGACCCGUUGUUUAUCCGCUUCCUCCGGACGUUCAAGGAAGUCCUCAAAUUUGUUCUCUUCAGCUACACGGUGCUGUUUGGUGCUCUGCUCCUUGCCAGAUGGACCACUUAUUUUAUGUUGGGGAAAUGAAAAGAGAGUGACUGUUGACGAAUGAGCCUGUUCACAGACUUAGAGCUCAUUAAUGAAGUUGAUCAGGCAGACCUGCUCUGGAUUUGUGGUCUAUGCAGUUCCUAUCAAUUAUUAAUGUCUCCCACACUCAACAAUAACAACUGGAGUGAUCAUGUUUGCUUCUCCUUUUGAUUAACACUCUGCAUUAGUGCUCACAGCUACAGUGUUAGGUUUUAAAAAAUAAUCCAAACAGGGUUUUACAGGCACUUAGAUUGAAUGAUACCCAUGUUAACCAUGCCAACUUGCAUCAAAUGUGUUUGUUCACAAUGCUUACAUGUGCAAAUUAGAAAUUGUUAUAUCUGCUGUGUUGCAAAAUGACCACAGUGAAGCUAUAAAACAGUAUUGUAUGGUUGUGUAGCACACAACAAACAGUAUUGUGUAUUCUUGUAGAUAAAAUCUUGAAAUCUGUAUUUUUCCUUGUGGAAGCACAUGUACAAUUUGUCAAAAACGUUUUAUGUUAAUAAGAUAUAAAAGCAGUGGGACGUCGGCUGUUAUUGUGACAAAAAAAGCUGUUCCUUGGUGUUGAAUCACCAGAAAGGCAAAGUGGAGAGCUGCCCCGAGGCCAUGCUCCCAGAGCGUCGGAAGAUUGUAUUGCACACUAUUCUUUAAUAAAUUGGUAAAGAAUUGAAAUAUUAAAUACUCGACCAAAUUACAAUAUAAA
Molecule: long non-coding RNA, 978 nt
Organism: Trematomus bernacchii (emerald rockcod)
Lineage: Eukaryota; Metazoa; Chordata; Actinopteri; Perciformes; Nototheniidae
Exons: 2
Source: RefSeq, a predicted model, not a curated record